UGGGGAAUUUUGGACAAUGGGCGAAAGCCUGAUCCAGCAAUGCCGCGUGUGUGAAGAAGGCCUUCGGGUUUUAAAGCACUUUUGUCCGGAAAGAAAUGGCUCUGGUUAAUACCUGGGGUCGAUGACGGUACCGGAAGAAUAAGGACCGGCUAACUACGUGACAGCAGCCGCGGUAAUACGUAGGGUCCAAGCGUUAAUCGGAAUUACUGGGCGUAAAGCGUGCGCAGGCGGUUGUGCAAGACCGAUGUGAAAUCCCCGAGCUUAACUUGGGAAUUGCAUUGGUGACUGCACGGCUAGAGUGUGUCAGAGGGGGGUAGAAUUCCACGUGUAGCAGUGAAAUGCGUAGAGAUGUGGAGGAAUACCGAUGGCGAAGGCAGCCCCCUGGGAUAACACUGACGCUCAUGCACGAAAGCGUGGGGAGCAAACAGG
This 429-nucleotide ribosomal RNA is filed under the name Bacillota bacterium. RNAcentral describes it as "Firmicutes bacterium partial 16S ribosomal RNA". It matches the Rfam family "Bacterial small subunit ribosomal RNA", at positions 355 to 776 of the family's 1533-position model. Lineage: Bacteria; Bacillati; Bacillota. The record is from RNAcentral.